Molecule: long non-coding RNA, 419 nt
Filed under: Helianthus annuus (common sunflower)
Lineage: Eukaryota; Viridiplantae; Streptophyta; Magnoliopsida; Asterales; Asteraceae
Description: sRNA HanXRQr2_Chr09g0383771
Rfam family: Bacterial small subunit ribosomal RNA (bases 37-336)
Source: RNAcentral
AUCCCCUCUUUUUCUGAGGAAAUGGCUCUUCAGACUGAGCCUUAAACACAAAGAUUCCUUCUUCCGUAUCAGCUCAACUCUGGACAGGCGGUGGAAACUACCAAGCUGGAGUACGGUAGGAGCAGAGGGAAUUUCCGGUGGAGCGGUGAAAUGCGCAGAGAUCGGAAAGAACACCAACGGCGAAAGCACUCUGCUGGGCCGACACUGACACUGAGAGACGAAAGCUAGGGGAGCGAAUGGGAUUAGAUACUCCAGUAGUCCUACCCGUAAACGAUGGAUACUAGGCGCUGUGCGUAUCGACCCGUGCAGUGCUGUAGCUAACGCGUUAAGUAUCCCGCCUGGGGAGUACGUUCGCUUUCCUGCAACUUUUUCAUACGCCUUCUACACUCAUGUGCUCCCCUACUGAACCAUCCCCUCUU